This 251-nucleotide ribosomal RNA is filed under the name uncultured prokaryote. RNAcentral's name for it is "partial 16S ribosomal RNA". It matches the Rfam family "Bacterial small subunit ribosomal RNA", at positions 524 to 774 of the family's 1533-position model. The record is from RNAcentral.
UACGGAGGAUGCGAGCGUUAUCCGGAUUUAUUGGGUUUAAAGGGUGCGUAGGCGGCUUAGUAAGUCAGCGGUGAAAUUUUGCAGCUUAACUGUAACAGUGCCGUUGAUACUGCCAGGCUAGGAUUUGGUUGCUGUGGGUGGAAUGUGUGGUGUAGCGGUGAAAUGCUUAGAUAUCACACAGAAUAUCGAUUGCGAAGGCAGCUCACAAAGCCAAGAUUGACGCUGAGGCACGAAAGUGUGGGGAUCAAGCA